This 58-nucleotide ribosomal RNA is filed under the name Aspergillus flavus. Its description in RNAcentral is "partial 28S ribosomal RNA". RNAcentral also lists the same sequence under 4 other names. The record is from RNAcentral. Lineage: Eukaryota; Fungi; Ascomycota; Eurotiomycetes; Eurotiales; Aspergillaceae.
GACCUCGGAUCAGGUAGGGAUACCCGCUGAACUUAAGCAUAUCAAUAAGCGGAGGAAA